This 84-nucleotide transfer RNA is filed under the name Claviceps purpurea (ergot fungus). Its description in RNAcentral is "tRNA-Ile". It matches the Rfam family "tRNA". Rfam says of the family: Transfer RNA (tRNA) molecules are approximately 80 nucleotides in length. RNAcentral also lists the same sequence under 1 other name. Lineage: Eukaryota; Fungi; Ascomycota; Sordariomycetes; Hypocreales; Clavicipitaceae. The record is from RNAcentral.
GCUUCCGUAGCUCAGUUGGUUAGAGCUUCGUACUAAUACUCGUUAGUGAUGCGGAGGCCGCAGGUUCAAGCCCUGCCGGGAGCA